GCGGCCUAUCAGCUUGUUGGUGAGGUAAUGGCUCACCAAGGCAACGACGGGUAGCCGGCCUGAGAGGGCGACCGGCCACACUGGGACUGAGACACGGCCCAGACUCCUACGGGAGGCAGCAGUGGGGAAUAUUGGGCAAUGGACGCAAGUCUGACCCAGCGACGCCGCGUGCGGGAUGAAGGCCUUCGGGUUGUAAACCGCUUUCAGCAGGGAAGAAGCGAAAGUGACGGUACCUGCAAAAGAAGCACCGGCUAACUAUGUGCCAGCAGCCGCGGUAAUACAUAGGGUGCAAGCGUUGUCCGGAAUUAUUGGGCGUAAAGAGUUCGUAGGUGGUUCGUUACGUCGGAUGUGAAAAUCUGGGGCUCAACCCCAGACCUGCAUUCGAUACGGGCGAGCUGGAGUUUGGUAGGGGAGACUGGAAUUCCU
RNAcentral lists this ribosomal RNA (426 nucleotides) under uncultured Actinomycetes bacterium. Its description in RNAcentral is "bacterial SSU rRNA". It matches the Rfam family "Bacterial small subunit ribosomal RNA", at positions 233 to 671 of the family's 1533-position model. The record is from RNAcentral. Lineage: Bacteria; Bacillati; Actinomycetota; Actinomycetes.